This 497-nucleotide ribosomal RNA is filed under the name uncultured bacterium. Its description in RNAcentral is "partial 16S ribosomal RNA". It matches the Rfam family "Bacterial small subunit ribosomal RNA", at positions 28 to 507 of the family's 1533-position model. The record is from RNAcentral.
GACGAACGCUGGCGGCGUGCCUAAUACAUGCAAGUUGAGCGCUGAAGGUUGGUACUUGUACCAACUGGAUGAGCAGCGAACGGGUGAGUAACGCGUGGGGAAUCUGCCUUUGAGCGGGGGACAACAUUUGGAAACGAAUGCUAAUACCGCAUAAAAACUUUAAACACAAGUUUUAAGUUUGAAAGAUGCAAUUGCAUCACUCAAAGAUGAUCCCGCGUUGUAUUAGCUAGUUGGUGAGGUAAAGGCUCACCAAGGCGAUGAUACAUAGCCGACCUGAGAGGGUGAUCGGCCACAUUGGGACUGAGACACGGCCCAAACUCCUACGGGAGGCAGCAGUAGGGAAUCUUCGGCAAUGGACGAAAGUCUGACCGAGCAGCGCCGCGUGAGUGAAGAAGGUUUUCGGAUCGUAAAACUCUGUUGGUAGAGAAGAACGCUGGUGAGAGUGGAAAGCUCAUCAAGUGACGGUAACUACCCAGAAAGGGACGGCUAACUACGUG